ACCCUCACACAAGCAUACCUGCAGACAAAACACAAGUGCACAUAAAAAUAAGCUUUAGGAAAUUAAGAAAUUAUUUUUAAAAGAGGGAGGAAGGAGCCCCAUCCUGAGCAAGGGACUCCGGAGAGUCUAGAACAUGAGGAGGAGAGCAAGGCUUCCCUGCCCCCGCCUGAACUGUAGGGAGACGGCCCUGCAGAGGUGCCCUGGCCCUGCUGAUGACUGUCCUUUGUCUUCUUGGUUAGGCCUGCUCGUGCCAACAACCAGGUUCCUGCCCCAACCCAGGCGUCUGCCAGGAGAAGUGAGGACUCAGUGCCGAGAUGGGGAGUUGCCAGAUCCUCCGAACGCCUCGCCUGCCACCCAGCUCUCCGCUGCUCUGGACCUGGCUUGUGACUUGCCACCUUUGUGAUGGAUGUUUACAGGAACCCAACCAGACGUCACCCACAGCCGCACCUGCCUCCCCCACUCAACCUCCGGGAAGGACACGGAGAGCUGAGGUGGCAAACGGACUCAUGCUUAGGCUUUUCCCGUCAGCAUUGUUUGAUGCUGGUUGACCUUAAGCCUGGGAAGACUUCAGACCCAAGACUGUUGAUCAUAGUUUCAGGGUGUCACUCUGGAGGGCUAUGCCAGGGCCCAGGACAGGGUUUAACUUCUCCAGGUUGACAGAACUGAGAUACUGCACUGGGGAAGGCCAUGCUGUGUCUGGCUAGAAAUCUAUUUUUGGAAGUGUGAGUGGUGUGUAAAGUGUGAAUGGUGUAGAUCCUUGAAUUUCCAUAAACCUGUAAAAGCAAUACCUAGAGGCUGACUUAUUUCAUUAAAAAAAAAAUGUAAGCAAUUCC
This 833-nucleotide long non-coding RNA is filed under the name Rattus norvegicus (Norway rat). RNAcentral describes it as "long non-coding RNA NONRATT003986". Lineage: Eukaryota; Metazoa; Chordata; Mammalia; Rodentia; Muridae. The record is from RNAcentral.